UCUAUAUAUAUAUAGACACACACACACAUAUCUUCUUUAUCUAUCUAUACUACUUUUUUUGAUAACCGAAAAAUCUGUCUGUGACUCGCUCUUUGGAUCAAUCACAACCUUCUACACUCGGUGGAUAAUGGGUUCACCCCUCUACCCUUCUCCAUUUAAAUACAAGGCUUUAUUUUGUGUGGUGUGGGGCUUGAACCUGUG
RNAcentral lists this long non-coding RNA (201 nucleotides) under Solanum tuberosum (potato). Its description in RNAcentral is "long non-coding RNA (STUB_LNC000203)". The record is from RNAcentral. Lineage: Eukaryota; Viridiplantae; Streptophyta; Magnoliopsida; Solanales; Solanaceae.